CCAAAGGCUAGGAAAGGGAAAGUAGGUAGGUAGAAGGUUUCCAGCGAGCCGGGAAUAAGGUGGAAGCCCGGUAACCAUCUCCUACUGAAAGCCACCCUGGAGCUUCCAGCCGAAAGGGUAAACCUAAGUAGGCCAGGACGGAAGACCCCGUUAUCGGUCGCGCCUGCUUUAGGCGCUAAAUGAGGUGGGCCAUUUUAUGGCCAAUAAGGGUGGUACCGCGGGAAAGCCUCCCGUCCCUUAG
Molecule: non-coding RNA, 241 nt
Filed under: Thermanaeromonas toyohensis
Lineage: Bacteria; Bacillati; Bacillota; Clostridia; Neomoorellales; Neomoorellaceae
Description: T-box sequence
Rfam family: T-box leader
About the family: Uncharged tRNA acts as the effector for transcription antitermination of genes in the T-box leader family. T-boxes are found upstream of many aminoacyl-tRNA synthetase genes and some amino acid biosynthetic genes usually in Gram-positive bacteria.
Source: RNAcentral